UACCCUUUGUUGAUGGUACCUAGUCCCUC
RNAcentral lists this non-coding RNA (29 nucleotides) under Mus musculus (house mouse). Lineage: Eukaryota; Metazoa; Chordata; Mammalia; Rodentia; Muridae. The record is from RNAcentral.